Molecule: ribosomal RNA, 497 nt
Filed under: uncultured bacterium
Lineage: Bacteria
Description: partial 16S ribosomal RNA
Rfam family: Bacterial small subunit ribosomal RNA
Source: RNAcentral
GAUGAACGCUGGCGGCGUGCCUAAUACAUGCAAGUCGAGCGAACAGACGAGGAGCUUGCUCCUCUGACGUUAGCGGCGGACGGGUGAGUAACACGUGGAUAACCUACCUAUAAGACUGGGAUAACUUCGGGAAACCGGAGCUAAUACCGGAGAAUAUAUUGAACCGCAUGGGUCAAUAGUGAAAGACGGUUUUGCUGUCACUUAUAGAUGGAUCCGCGCCGCAUUAGCUAGUUGGUAAGGUAACGGCUUACCAAGGCAACGAUGCGUAGCCGACCUGAAAGGGUGAUCGGCCACCCUGGAACUGAGACACGGUCCAGACUCCUGCGGGAGGCAGCAGUCGGGAAUCUUCCGCAAUGGGCGAGAGCCUGACGUAGCGACGCCGCGUGAGUGAUGACGGUCUUCGGAUCGUAAAACUCUGUUAUUAGGGAAGAACAAAUGUGUAAGUAACUAUGCACGUCUUGACGGUACCUGGUCAGAAAGCCCCGGCUAACUACGUG